AGGUGGGCUGGCUGAUGGUGGUAUGGCCAUUCCUUGUGUGGUUGAACUCGGUGGAAGGUGGAAGCUGCUCCUUUCCAAGGAUGCCUCAUUUCAUCUUUUGUAACCCUCAGCUCUCAGCCACACACUAAGCCUCCUACAAGAGCUGCCUUUCCAAUUCAGUAGAUCUUGAAAGAUCAUUCGGAGGAAUAACAUCAAAGCAUACCUUGCAUAGCAGUGGAGACCCUUGUCUUUGAGGCAUACUUUGCAUCUCCCAAGAAGUGUCAGCUCUGCCCUCCACAAGAACACAGUCAGCUGCAGCCUGGCUCAUCUCUUUGGCCCCUCUGCUGAGGUUUAGAGUGGAUGUUGCCUGGCUUUGUGGGACUUGCACUUGUCUUCUCUGAAGUACAGAUGCUGUAUCUGUAAAGCAAACGCCAUCCCCACCUCAAAACAGGUACUGUCCAAGUCUAGAAGUAGAAUAUCUUUUCCAUAUUAACUCAAUGAGGAGUUUUUUGCAGAAGCUCUUAUAGACAUUUGUUUAUUGGUUGAAUUUUUAUCCUCACCCUUAAGACACAUACAGUAUUGCUCUAUUACUUAUAGUAAAAUGUAGAACAUGUUAGCAUGGAUAUGAUGUUAGCAUGUUUACUAUUUGACACUCCCUCCCCUCUGGAUUCUCCUGUUCAGGACUUAAUGCCAACUGAACCAUAGAGAAUAUAUCAGAGGAAUUCCUCAGAAUCUCCUUCUAAUGAGUGUUUCAGAAUGGAGUGAGUGGCCACUAUUUAAGGCAAUUAAAUCCCUCUGCAGGCCCCCAGUUCUGUGUAACCCACGUUGUAUUUACUUCUACACUGCAGAUUUUAAAGAAAAUGUAACAUUGGGGUGAAACUCUUGUGUCCUUCCUUGGAAAGUUAAUUCAUUUGAGCAGAAAUAUCAGUAUUUACCAGCCCAUGUCACUUCAUCUACAGUUUUGAAAGCUGAUGUGCCUGUUGGCUUGGGAAGCCUUAGACAUGAUAUAGUGGUCAUAUGUUUAAGGGAUACAGCAGACUGAUGAUUCAGUAGGAAGUUUUGAGGUUUACCAGAGUCUAAGUACCUGCAAGCAAAUAUUAGUGAAGACUUUUUUACAUCUGAAAGGUCCCAUUGAGCUGAACCACGCCAGCCCCACCUUUCAGUAGAAAGUGGUGGAUUUGUCUCCAAAGAAUGACAAAAACUUUAGCUGUUUAUUAGCAUUCCCUCAGGGCUCAGUGGAAGCUGUCACCUGGAGCCCAAUAAGUAAUGCUAGUGAGUGUCUGUGUGGAAGAUUCUGGAUUCAGCAGGGCUGCUGUGUAGCUCCAGACACCCACUGGACACAUUUUUGCAAGCCAACAGAUAACCCAGCUGACAGCAGCAAGUGACUUUAUGUACAUCCAAAUGCCACUUGACCUCUCAUCUUGGUCUGCCGCACAAAAUUAGAGACAAUUAUUGUCUGUUUCAUCAGCUCAUGGCUUCAGAAUUUUACAUGGUGUUUUUUUUUCUGGUCAAUAGUUUGGAAAAGGAGAAUUGUGAUGAAUUCUAAGGCAAAUAUUUUUCAAAAGUUGAAAAGCUACACUUGCUGAAUAGGAAGAUGGGUUAUGUCAGUCAUUCAGAGCAGAAGAGUCAGUGUGUGUUCAGUUAAAGGGCUCAGUUGUCCCACAGCCUAAUACAGGGAGCAAAACCAUCCUGUUCCAUGGCCACUCUGGCUCUUCUGGGAUUGCACUUUGGUAUCAGAGUGAGAACAAAGGUUGGGUCUGUGAAGAGGAAGGAGCCCAAGGGUCAAAUCUGCAUGGUGCUGUCCCUUGAUUGUGUAGGUGUGAGGGAGGGGGAACAAAAUGCUUUUUAAGAAGAAAUAUUACAUAUUCUUUUUCCUCCCUCAGUCCAGGAGAAAAAAAGAUAAGGGAAUUACAACUCCAAGCUGUUCUCCUGCCUGCACUUGUUUUUCAGAAUGCAGGUGUGCAGUGCUGUAUCUCAGAGUUAUCCAUACAAUAACAAUUCUUAUUACAUUAGAGGAGAGUUCUGAAGAAGAAUGGCACUUCCUUCCCUUGGAGACAUUUGGACAGAGGCCAGAAUUUUGGGAAGCUGCAAUAUAAAAUGGCCACAUGUGGCUAUCUGGGGUGAAGCACCCAAUUUUUAGUUACAAGAGUUAAAUUUUACAUCUCUUAGGUAAAAAGCUUUAAAGAAACAUGAAUGAAAAAACCCCAUGGCUUCCAGACCUCUUCAAGGAUAUGAG
Molecule: long non-coding RNA, 2215 nt
Organism: Passer montanus (Eurasian tree sparrow)
Lineage: Eukaryota; Metazoa; Chordata; Aves; Passeriformes; Passeridae
Exons: 4
Source: RefSeq, a predicted model, not a curated record